UAUUUUAUAUGUUCUAACUGUAACAUAAAUUGUGGUGGAUAUUGUUUCUUCUAUUAUUAGAUGCAAAUACUUAUUUAAUGCUGUUGAUUGUUAUCUUUUGUAACCUUGCCAGACUUUGCUUCAAUAACACUAGUAACUAAUGCCAAAUUUCAUAAGUUUCUGUCCUUACCAGAAUGUUCUGAUGGGAGUCAAAUGAGAUGAUUACAAAAGACUUUGAUUGCACUGUUUUCUGAUUAGUAAUGUUUUGAUUGUCUGAUAUUUUCAAUUUUUAGACUUGCACUUGUUGUAUAUGAAAAGAAGGCCCAACAUUACUAAUAAUCCUAUUAUUAGUAAUGCUGGGCCUACUUUUUCCUGUAAACAUAAGUUCAGCUAGCUGUUGAUCAAGUUGUAGACUCAUUUCUUCCUUUGAUUCGGGGAUCUAUGACUAUGAGGCUAUUGUCCCACCUGUUAGUGUCCUGUUAUGUGGUUGUUUGAUAAUUUUUGUUUAAAUGAAGUGCUUUUUGCCAUGCUAACCAAUUACACCACACUUA
Long non-coding RNA from Juglans microcarpa x Juglans regia, 530 nucleotides. RefSeq lists it as uncharacterized. Lineage: Eukaryota; Viridiplantae; Streptophyta; Magnoliopsida; Fagales; Juglandaceae. The transcript is spliced from 2 exons. The record is from RefSeq and is a predicted model, not a curated record.